GCCGGGCGCGGUGGCGCGUGCCUGUAGUCCCAGCUACUCGGGAGGCCGAGGUGAGAGGAUCGCUUGAGUCCAGGAGUUCUGGGCUGUAGUGCGAUCUGCCAAUCAGGUGUCCGCACUAAGUUCGGCAUCAAUAUGGUGACCUCCUGGGAGCGGGAGACCACCAGGUUGCCUAAGGAGGGGUGAACCGGCCCAGGCUGAAAACGGAGCAGGUCAAAACUCCCAUGCUGAUCAGUAGUGGGAUCGCGCCUGUGAAUAGCCACUGCACUCCAGCCUGGGCAACAUAGCGAGACCCCAUCUCU
RNAcentral lists this signal recognition particle RNA (299 nucleotides) under Aotus nancymaae (Ma's night monkey). Its description in RNAcentral is "Metazoan signal recognition particle RNA (ENSANAG00000014057.1)". It matches the Rfam family "Metazoan signal recognition particle RNA". From Rfam's summary of the family: The signal recognition particle (SRP) is a universally conserved ribonucleoprotein. It is involved in the co-translational targeting of proteins to membranes. The record is from RNAcentral. Lineage: Eukaryota; Metazoa; Chordata; Mammalia; Primates; Aotidae.